RNAcentral lists this ribosomal RNA (443 nucleotides) under uncultured bacterium. Its description in RNAcentral is "partial 16S ribosomal RNA". It matches the Rfam family "Bacterial small subunit ribosomal RNA", at positions 338 to 795 of the family's 1533-position model. The record is from RNAcentral.
CCUACGGGAGGCAGCAGUGGGGAAUAUUGGGCAAUGGGCGCAAGCCUGACCCAGCAACGCCGCGUGAAGGAAGAAGGCUUUCGGGUUGUAAACUUCUUUUCUGAGGGACGAAGCAAGUGACGGUACCUCAGGAAUAAGCCACGGCUAACUACGUGCCAGCAGCCGCGGUAAUACGUAGGUGGCAAGCGUUAUCCGGAUUUACUGGGUGUAAAGGGCGUGUAGGCGGGAAAGCAAGUCAGAUGUGAAAACUAAGGGCUCAACCCAUAGCCUGCAUUUGAAACUGUUGUUCUUGAGUGCUUGAGAGGCAAUCGGAAUUCCGUGUGUAGCGGUGAAAUGCGUAGAUAUGCGGAGGAACACCAGUGGCGAAGGCGGAUUGCUGGACAGUAACUGACGCUGAGGCGCGAAAGCGUGGGGAGCAAACAGGAUUAGAUACCCGAGUAGUC